UACGGAGGAUCCGAGCGUUAUCCGGAUUUAUUGGGUUUAAAGGGUGCGUAGGUGGUCUUAUAAGUCAGUGGUGAAAGUUUGCGGCUUAACCGUAAAAUUGCCAUUGAAACUGUAGGACUUGAGUACAAAUGAGGUAGGCGGAAUGUGUUGUGUAGCGGUGAAAUGCUUAGAUAUAACACAGAACACCAAUUGCGAAGGCAGCUUACUGGGAUGUAACUGACACUGAGGCACGAAAGCGUGGGGAUCAAACAGGAUUAGAUACCCUGGUAGUCCACGCUGUAAACGAUGAAUACUAACUGUAUGCGAUAUACUGUAUGCGGUACAGCGAAAGCGUUAAGUAUUCCACCUGGGGAGUACGUUGGCAACAAUGAA
RNAcentral lists this ribosomal RNA (372 nucleotides) under uncultured bacterium. RNAcentral's name for it is "bacterial SSU rRNA". It matches the Rfam family "Bacterial small subunit ribosomal RNA", at positions 524 to 898 of the family's 1533-position model. The record is from RNAcentral.